CAGUCGACGCGUCUCCGUUAAUGAUUUUAAGUGCUUGCACUUGAAAGAUUUAACAUUGAGACGAGUGGCGAACUGGUGAGUAACACGUGGGUAACCUGCCCUUGAAGUAGGGGAUAACACUUGGAAACAGGUGCUAAUACCGUAUAACAACCAAAACCACCUGGUUUUGGUUUAAAAGACGGCUUCGGCUGUCACUUUAGGAUGGACCCGCGGCGUAUUAGCUUGUUGGUAAGGUAACGGCCUACCAAGGCGAUGAUACGUAGCCGACCUGAGAGGGUAAUCGGCCACAUUGGGACUGAGACACGGCCCAAACUCCUACGGGAGGCAGCAGUAGGGAAUCUUCCACAAUGGACGAAAGUCUGAUGGAGCAACGCCGCGUGAGUGAUGAAGGGUUUCGGCUCGUAAAACUCUAUUGUUGGAGAAGAACAGGUGUCAGAGCAACUGUUGACAUCUUGACGGUAUCCAACCAGAAAGCCACGGCUAACUACGUGCCAGCAGCCGCGGUAAUACGUAGGUGGCAAGCGUUGUCCGGAUUUAUUGGGCGUAAAGCGAGCGCAGGCGGUUUUUUAGGUCUGAUGUGAAAGCCUUCGGCUUAACCGGAGAAGUGCAUCGGAAACCGGGAGGCUUGAGUGCAGAAGAGGACAGUGGAACUCCAUGUGUAGCGGUGAAAUGCGUAGAUAUAUGGAAGAACACCAGUGGCGAAGGCGGCUGUCUGGUCUGUAACUGACGCUGAGGCUCGAAAGCAUGGGUAGCGAACAGGAUUAGAUACCCUGGUAGUCCAUGCCGUAAACGAUGAGUG
Molecule: ribosomal RNA, 799 nt
Filed under: uncultured bacterium
Lineage: Bacteria
Description: bacterial SSU rRNA
Rfam family: Bacterial small subunit ribosomal RNA
Source: RNAcentral